AUUGAACGCUGGCGGCAUGCUUUACACAUGCAAGUCGAACGGCAGCGCGGGCUUCGGCCUGGCGGCGAGUGGCGAACGGGUGAGUAAUGCAUCGGAACGUGCCCAGUAUUUGGGGAUAGCCCGGCGAAAGCCGGAUUAAUACCGCAUACGACCUGAGGGUGAAAGCGGGGGACCGAAAGGCCUCGCGCUAUUGGAGCUGCCGUUGUCGGAUUAGCUAGUUGGUGGGGUAAAGGCUUACCAAGGCGACGAUCCGUAGCUGGUCUGAGAGGACGACCAGCCACACUGGGACUGAGACACGGCCCAGACUCCUACGGGAGGCAGCAGUGGGGAAUUUUGGACAAUGGGGGCAACCCUGAUCCAGCCAUGCCGCGUGCGGGAAGAAGGCCUUCGGGUUGUAAACCGCUUUUGUUCGGGAAGAAAUACUCUGGGCUAAUACCCCGGGGGGAUGACGGUACCGGAAGAAUAAGCACCGGCUAACUACGUG
Molecule: ribosomal RNA, 484 nt
Filed under: uncultured bacterium
Lineage: Bacteria
Description: partial 16S ribosomal RNA
Rfam family: Bacterial small subunit ribosomal RNA
Source: RNAcentral